This is a long non-coding RNA of Cryptomeria japonica (Japanese cedar), 3470 nucleotides long. RefSeq lists it as uncharacterized. The transcript is spliced from 6 exons. NCBI's taxonomy places the organism in Eukaryota, Viridiplantae, Streptophyta, Pinopsida, Cupressales, Cupressaceae. The record is from RefSeq and is a predicted model, not a curated record.
GGUUGGAACAAGGAGGUUCAUAAUGCUGCAAGAAAACAAAUUUGCAAGUUUUGGUACUUUUGCAACAUUCCAUUUAUUGCAGCCAGGUCUCCUUAUUGGCAAGGCAUGGUAGGUUCCAUAACCAUUUGUGGUGCGGGGUUUAAAGCCCCUACCGAUGCUGAGUUAAGUGGCUCCCUCUUGUUACAAAUGGUUGAGGAUAUGAAAGUUGAGCUAGAGGACCACCGACAGUCUUGGAGCCAAAAGGGUUGCACCAUCAUGACAGAUGGUUGGACGGAUAGGAGGAAUUGAACACUCCUAAAUUUUCUUGUUUCCUGCGGAGGAUCCACCAUGUUCUUGAAGUCUAUAGAUGCUUCCUCACAUGUGAAAAAUGCCACAUACUUAUGUGAGGCUAUUGAGGAAGUCAUACAAGAGGUGGGGGAAGAAAAUGUGGUGCAGGUGGUGACAGAUAAUGCAACAAGUUAUGUUGCUGCAGGUAAACUUUUGAUGGAGAGGCACCUGAAAUUUUUUUGGUUUCCUUGUGCGGCCCAUUGCCUUGACCUCAUGUUGGAGGAUAUUGGUAAGCUUGAAUGGGUGAAAUCAAUAGUUGAAAGGGCCAAAAAUAUCAGCAAGUUUAUCUACAAUCAUGCAUUGGUCCUUAGCAUUAUGAGGCAAUACAUGGGGCAAAAGGAGUUGGCUUGUCCUGGUAUUACAAGGUUUGCCUCAAACUUCCUCACACUAAAAUCCUUGAUAAAAUCAAAGGCGGCUUUGAGGCGUAUGUUUGUUGGUGAGGAGUGGACUUCCUCAUCCUAUGCUAUGACCACUGCAGGGAUAGAUGUGGUAAAUUGAAUUUUUGAUGAGCCAGGUUUUUGGACCCCCUAUGGAGAAACCGUGCAGGUCACUGAGCCCCUCGUAGUUCUCUUAUGAGUUGUUGAUGGGGAGAAGCCCUCUAUGGGCUAUAUAUAUGAGGGUAUGGAUAGGGCCAAGGAGGCCAUUAGGUCCAUAUAUGCAAGAGAUGAGGAUAAGUAUGGCUCCAUUUGGGAGAUUUUUGAUAGGAGAUGGAAGAACUAGCUUCACAGGCCCAUCCAUGCAGCAGCCUAUUACCUCAAUCUGACAUUUCGAUUCCGUGAUGACUUCAAGGCGGAUGAGGAGGUUCUUAGUGGCCUGUAUAUAGUGGUUCAGAAGUUGUGUACUGAUGGCACAACCUCAAGUACAACGCUCCAGCUGGAUAAAUAUUAUAAUCGAGAAGGGGCAAUCUUUGCAAGCAGCAUGUGCAUAGAGGCUUGAACACAAUUGCAGCCAGAUAGAUGGUGGCAAAUGUUUGGGCCCUCAACCCCAAACCUUCAAAAAAUUGCCAUCCGUAUUUUCAGUCAGCCAUGCAGCGCUUCUGGAUGUGAGCGCAAUUGGUCCAUGUUCGAGCACAUCCACUCGAAGAGGCGUAAUAGAUUGUCUAUGGAGAGGUUGAAUGAUCUUGUUUUUGUUCAUUACAACCUCCGUCUUAGGACCAGACAGAUUUUGGACACUGACUCCUCUCCGAUCACUUUAGCGGAGAUCAAUCCAGAGUCUGAGUGGAUCACUGAGUCUACCGAUCCCGUCUUCAUUGAGGAGGACCAUGAGUGGGUUGACCAGGCAGACAGAGAGGCUGAGGCUGUGGCUAUGGUAGAGGAGGAGGAUAGAGCACGAUCCAAAACAGGCACCUCACAGGCAGAGACUAUGGCUUCUCAGUCAUCCAGGACCUACCUUAGACGCAUUUGUAGGAGGCAAACAGACUACUCUGAGGCUGAGGAUGAGCUAGAGCCUGAGCCAUAGACUUGUUUUUGUUUACAGUUAUAUAUAUGUUUGGGAACAUUUGAUGUCAUGGAUUUUAUAUACAUUUGAAAACAUUUAUAACUCUAUAUAUCUAUGUUUUCUAUUUCCUUCAGCUACAAUUUACAUUUCUAUGCAUGUGAUGGAUGUAUGUUUAUGUAUGUGAUCAAAUUAGCUUCUAUUUGAUGAUGUUAUAGUGUCUUUAAGCUUUAUUCAAUAAUGGGUGCAUGAAACAAGUUUUAAAUCGUUAAAAAUCUCUAAAUUUCAAGGGUUUUUUAUUUUGCCGAGUCAUUGCCGAGUCGUUGCCGAGUCAUAGCCGAGUCACGAGUCGAGUCGGCCUUGUCGAGUCCGAGUCCGAGUCUGGGAACUUUGGAAGAAAUACACCCAAGGAUGAAUUGAACAUAAAAUUUCUAAGGCAAGGAAGGAAUCAGGGAUGAACUGAACAAGAAAUUUCCCCUCCAGGGAAAAAUUUGAAAAAUCCAUUCUCAGGCAUCAAAUCACAUCCAAAUUUCAAAAAUUUUACAGAUUUGGAUUCGUAAGAGAAUUUUCUCUCCUGGACCGUGGAACCCUAAUUUGGAAAUUUUCCUAAAAAAUAGGAAAUGUGUAGAAUUGAUGAAAAACCUUCUUCAAGCAAGGAAAGUUGAGGAGACUUCAAGAAAAUUCUUCUUGAAUCGAAUUUUCCCUCUCCAACAAUUCCAGAUGUGCAGGAGCAGAUAUACGACGACAGAGUCCAUUUGCAUGGCGAGGAUCUAUUGAACGCAUGGCAGUAUGGUGGCGCAUUCAUUGUCGGAAUAUUUGACCAAAUGGCAACCUUGUCAUUGCAUGUUGAAUUUAUGGCAGAUUCCUUUUGCAUGCAGCCGCCGCAUGUGGAAAUGAUGGAGCAUUUAUGACAUAAUGGGGUGAUUUUUGCAUGGAUGAAUAUUCAAUGCAUGUUGGGCGAAUUUGAAGGAGGUGGUGCAUUUAAUGCGCAAUGGAUUCUAUUUUGGGUACUUUUGAAUUAAUUUUAUAUGGGCAUGAUGGGUUAUUAAUUGGAGAUUCCCACCUUGUUGCAUCUUGAGUGGAGAAUCUUUUAGGGAAAACCCUAAUUAGGGUUUUGCAUGUAGCCAGGGCUUGAAGCCUAUAUAAGGGGUGACCCCCCUCAUUUGCAGGGAGGGAGCUUUGUAUGAAAUUGUUGCGAUAAGUUUUUUGAGAAAAUAAUAGUGAAACAUUGUUCUCUGAUAGUGUCCACUUGAGUUAUUUUUUCAAAACUUGCAUGGUUUCACCUUCCUCACUUAGAUUAGAAGUAGUAAAGUGCUUUGAUUUCAAUGGAGAAUGUAAUGGUGUUUGAUGAAUUUCCAUGGUUCAUACUUUUUGUAUCUUGCUGAUUGUAAGUUGCAGUGUAAAGUUAGCCCGAGCCACUAAACUUGAGCUAAGUUCGGUUGUGGACAGUCGUUUGGAUUGCACCGUUUUGGGUAUUCAAAUGCACUUUCCCGAUUUGAAAAUCCUUCAAUAUCCUCAGAAGAUUGCACCGGUUCUUGCGGAGUUGUAGUUUAUCUUGGCGAAGCAGAGCUUGGUUUAUUUGGAAUCUGUCCACCAAAGCACUAUUCUGUGAGGCCCUACCCCGACUCAACUUGACAUUUUCAGUUAUUUGCAUAUUGAGACUAUUAUGGAUGCUUUAUUUUAUGCUUUAUGGAUUUAGAACCUAUAUG